RNAcentral lists this ribosomal RNA (164 nucleotides) under Staphylococcus aureus. Its description in RNAcentral is "partial 16S ribosomal RNA". It matches the Rfam family "Bacterial small subunit ribosomal RNA", at positions 1 to 159 of the family's 1533-position model. The record is from RNAcentral. Lineage: Bacteria; Bacillati; Bacillota; Bacilli; Caryophanales; Staphylococcaceae.
UUUAUGGAGAGUUUGAUCCUGGCUCAGGAUGAACGCUGGCGGCGUGCCUAAUACAUGCAAGUCGAGCGAACGGACGAGAAUCUUGCUUCUCUGAUGUUAGCGGCGGACGGGUGAGUAACACGUGGAUAACCUACCUAUAAGACUGGGAUAACUUCGGGAAACCG